AGUGAACGCUGGCGGCGUGCUUAGCACAUGCAAGUCGAACGAGAACGGAAUAUAGCUUGCUAUAUUUGUCAGCUAAGUGGCGCACGGGUGAGUAAUGUAUAGAUAACCUGCCCUUAAGAAAGGAAUAACAGUUGGAAACGACUGCUAAUGCCCUAUAUGCCUUUAAUACAUAAGUAUGCAAGGGAAACGCUUUAGUGCUUAAGGAUGGGUCUGUAUGGUAUCAGCUUGUUGGUGAGGUAAUGGCUCACCAAGGCUAUGACGCCUAACUGGCUUGAGAGGAUGAUCAGUCACACUGGAACUGAGACACGGUCCAGACUCCUACGGGAGGCAGCAGUGGGGAAUAUUGCACAAUGGACGAAAGUCUGAUGCAGCAACGCCGCGUGGAGGAUGACACAUUUCGGUGCGUAAACUCCUUUUAUAUAGGAAGAUAAUGACGGUACUAUAUGAAUAAGCACCGGCUAACUCCGUGCCAGCAGCCGCGGUAA
Molecule: ribosomal RNA, 485 nt
Filed under: uncultured bacterium
Lineage: Bacteria
Description: partial 16S ribosomal RNA
Rfam family: Bacterial small subunit ribosomal RNA
Source: RNAcentral